RNAcentral lists this ribosomal RNA (442 nucleotides) under uncultured bacterium. Its description in RNAcentral is "partial 16S ribosomal RNA". It matches the Rfam family "Bacterial small subunit ribosomal RNA", at positions 338 to 795 of the family's 1533-position model. The record is from RNAcentral.
CCUACGGGAGGCAGCAGUAGGGAAUCUUUCACAAUGGGCGAAAGCCUGAUGGAGCAACGCCGCGUGCAGGAUGAAGGCCUUCGGGUUGUAAACUGCUUUUAUAAGCGAGAAAUAUGAUGGUAACUUAUGAAUAAGGAUCGGCUAUCUUCGUGACAGCAGCCGCGGUCAUACGUAGGAUCCGAGCAUUAUCCGGAGUGACUGGGUGUAAAGAGUUGCGUAGGUGGCGUAAUAAGUAGCUAGUGAAAUCUGGUGGCUCAACCAUUCAGACUAUUAGCUAAACUGUUAAGCUCGAGGACGUUAGGGGUAACUGGAAUUUCUGGUGUAGGGGUGAAAUGCGUAGAUAUUAGAAGGAACACCAAUAGCGUAGGCAGGUUACUGGGACGGUUCUGACACUAAGGCACGAAAGCGUAGGGAGCAAACGGGAUUAGAUACCCGGGUAGUC